AACGCACAUUGCGCCCUCUGGUAUUCCGGGGGGCAUGCCUGUCCGAGCGUCAUUGCGAACCCUCAAGCACGGCUUGUGUGUUGGGCCGCCGUCCCCUCGUUUGGAGGGGACGGGCCUGAAAGGCAGCGGCGGCGUCGCGUCCGGUCCUCGAGCGUAUGGGGCUCUGUCACGCGCUCAAGGAGGGGUCCGGCCGGGGCCAUAGCCUCUGAAGGUCAAUUCUUCCAAGGUUGACCUCGGAUCAGGUAGGAGUACCCGCUGAACUUAA
This 265-nucleotide unclassified non-coding RNA is filed under the name uncultured Ascomycota. RNAcentral describes it as "sequence contains ITS2". RNAcentral also lists the same sequence under 2 other names. The record is from RNAcentral. Lineage: Eukaryota; Fungi; Ascomycota.